This 488-nucleotide ribosomal RNA is filed under the name uncultured bacterium. RNAcentral's name for it is "bacterial SSU rRNA". It matches the Rfam family "Bacterial small subunit ribosomal RNA", at positions 33 to 507 of the family's 1533-position model. The record is from RNAcentral.
AGGACGACGCUGGCGGCGUGCUUAAUACAUGCAAGUCGAGCGAGGUUACUGUUUGGAUCCCUUCGGGGUGAAGAAGCUUUAACCUAGCGGCGGACGGGUGAGUAACGCGUGGGUAACCUACCCCAAAGUCCGGGAUAACAGCGGGAAACCGCUGCUAAUACCGGAUGUCUUUACCUUGGGGCAUCUUGAGGUAAAGAAGGGUAACGCUUUGGGAUGGGCCCGCGUCCCAUUAGCUAGUUGGUGAGGUAACGGCUCACCAAGGCGACGAUGGGUAGCCGGCCUGAGAGGGUGGACGGCCACACUGGGACUGAGACACGGCCCAGACUCCUACGGGAGGCAGCAGUAGGGAAUAUUGCGCAAUGGACGGAAGUCUGACGCAGCGACGCCGCGUGAGCGAUGAAGGUCUUCGGAUCGUAAAGCUCUGUCCUUGGGGAAGAAGGUCUUCGGACUUGACGGUACCCAAGAAGAAAGCCCCGGCUAACUACGUG